RNAcentral lists this ribosomal RNA (470 nucleotides) under uncultured Desulfobulbus sp. Its description in RNAcentral is "bacterial SSU rRNA". It matches the Rfam family "Bacterial small subunit ribosomal RNA", at positions 920 to 1382 of the family's 1533-position model. The record is from RNAcentral. Lineage: Bacteria; Pseudomonadati; Thermodesulfobacteriota; Desulfobulbia; Desulfobulbales; Desulfobulbaceae.
CCCGGCACAAGCGGUGGAGGUAUGUGGUUUAAUUCGAUGCAACGCGAAGAACCUUACCUGGUCUUGACAUCCCGGAGACCCUUAGGAAACUAGGGGGUGCUUCCAUCUGGAAGAAUCUGGAGACAGGUGCUGCAUGGCUGUCGUCAGCUCGUGUCGUGAGAUGUUGGGUUAAGUCCCGCAACGAGCGCAACCCUUGCCUUUAGUUGCCAGCAGUUCGGCUGGGCACUCUAAAGGGACUGCCGGUGUUAAACCGGAGGAAGGUGGGGAUGACGUCAAGUCCUCAUGGCCUUUAUGACCAGGGCUACACACGUACUACAAUGGCCGAUACAAAGGGCAGCGACACUGCGAGGUGAAGCCAAUCCCGUAAAAUCGGUCUCAGUCCGGAUUGGAGUCUGCAACUCGACUCCAUGAAGUUGGAAUCGCUAGUAAUCGUGGAUCAGCAUGCCACGGUGAAUACGUUCCCGGGCCUU